AUGGAAGAGAUGGAGGCGGGAAAACAAAACCUUAGAAAACAUGAUGGUUGUAUAACCCCAGAAAUGUCAAGGAUUUGGUAUGAGUGUCACAGGCGGCCAAGCAAAUCUGCUACUUAUCAACACACACACGCAUGCACAGUACAUAUUGUCAACCAAAGUAACAACAAAUCAGAGACAUGUGCCUCACGUUGUCCCCACAGUUCAAUGGAAUGGAUUGUAUCUAAUCAUGACAUCCAAUCAGUGGUUUCAUCAUCACAAAGAACUCACGAACAUGUACAACAAUGGAGCAGGUACCUUUGUCUGCUUGGAGCUCCUUGUGUGGGUCAUGUUGUGGAUGCCCUCCAUGGAAGGAAGGACCUGCUGCUGCUGCUCCAGCCCGAAUCAAAUCAAGGUGGUUAG
Molecule: ribosomal RNA, 399 nt
Filed under: Triticum aestivum (bread wheat)
Lineage: Eukaryota; Viridiplantae; Streptophyta; Magnoliopsida; Poales; Poaceae
Description: partial small subunit ribosomal RNA
Source: RNAcentral